UGUUAUUGUGGCUUCGGUCGAGAGUGAAGAGUUUCCAAUCAGAGUUUCCUACCAAAACACUUUCUAAGAUUAAAGUAACUGAACAACUUCUGUAAUUCUGCUCUCCAGAAAAUACAGCCCCUCCACUUCCAGAAACUGAUUAACCAACCCCCAUCUUUCCUUCCAUCUCUCCCUUUUAACCUCCCCCCUGUAACUAACUGUUGUCCCCACUAAGGUGGUUUCCACUCACCUCCAAUUCCAUCACCUGUGCACGUGCAAUUCCACUUGUCUUUCUUCUGCUAUAUUGUAUUGCAAUUGGUGGUCUAUCAUUACUCUCCCUCUCCAAAGACACCUUGUUCUCAAUGUGGGCAAAUGAGGAAGCUUUUGUGUAAAAUCAUCACAAUUCUCCCAUGUAGCCUCAUGAGGUGGUAUUGCCUUUCCAACUAACAAGCACUUCCCACUUCUUUGUUGCCUGGAUUUUUAGGAUAGCCAAAAUUGUCUGCUGCUAGUAACUCUUGAAAUGUAGGAACAUCAUCAAUUCCAUAUAGUUCGGUAAAUGUCAUUCCUCCCUCCAUAAGCUCGACAUUUUGUCAAGAAACCGUAAUCAGAUGGUGUCCAUGUCUCCAUCUAUGUGUUACAGGACUCACUCUAGUCUUUGUCAAACUCGGGUCACCCCUUAUAACAACAUUCUUUUCAUUUUGUAUGAAAGUUAAAGUGAGUUUCCGCCAAUCCACUUCAGUUACCCCCAAUCGUGUGCAGCCAUUGCAUUCCAAGGACUGACAUCACGAUAGAACACUGAUGUAGUGUUUACUAUUAUAUUGACAAUUCAAACACAACUUACAACAUAAGCAAACCGUGAACCUCAGAAAAUGAGUCACGUUACAUAUAAUUCACAAACAUCAAACAAAGAAAACCUCCUAAUCCAAAAUUCCAAACAACAAAAUACUAAUAAGCAAACCAGAAUAUAGAACACCAAUCUUCUGCUUCCCCUGAUCUUUCAAGGAGUAUUGCAGACCUUUUCCUUCACUCCGCAAACUCACUUUAACAAAGAGGCAGCCACAUUCUCAGGUACAGAAAAUAAAGUAGGUAGUAUGUAGGAAGGCUAACCAGAACUGAGUUGCAUAAGGUUUGUCUUUCGCCUCUAGAGAUGUUAUAUCUUUUCCACCUUUCAAGUUUCUUGUGAAUUCGAUCAAUGACUGGUUGCCAAAAAGACUUUUGUCGAGGGUAGCCUCUCAAAGGGAGACCUAAAUAUAUAAUCGGAAGCUGGAAUAAAAAAAGAAGAGUAUCAUCGACAAAUUGAAGCAAAGGGAGGUGGAUCAAGUCUUUGCCAACAAGGAAACCUUUCAAACUGGCUGUUAAUAUGAAGCUUGUUUAUGAUUUCUCCUAAAACCUCACUUACUAGGAGGAAUAAAAAGGGGGAGAGGGGGUCCCCUUGACGGAUACCUCUAGAUGUUGUUAUCCGACCUUCUAGGCUUACCAUUGAUGAAGACUGAAUACUUUGGAUUUUUUAGGCAGCCCAUUAUCCAUGAUAUCCAUUUGGAACUAAACUUUUUCAAAGAUAAAUUUUUUUUCUAAAAAGUUCCAAUUCACCCUAUCAAAGGCUUUUUCCAAGUCAUAGUUUUAAAAUCCAUCCUUUUUUCCGUUUUGCCCUAUAAUCUUCCACGGCCUCGUUAGCAAUUAAUAUUGGGUUAAGAAUUUGCCUACCUUCAAUAAAGGCGCUUUGAGUGGGGCUUAUAAUUGCAUCCAUAACUUGUUUUAGACGUUCAGAUAAAACCUUUGCAACAACCUUGUAUGCUAACGUAGUAAGGCUGAUUGGACGGAAAUCCUUGACUAGAGUCACAUUCUCUUUUUUCUGCACUAAACAAAUGAAGUUUUCUUGGAUGCAAGCAUUUAAUCUUCCAUUUAUGUGGAAAUCAUACAUUAGUGAUUUGAAGAUAUCCUUGAAAAUAGACCAUUGGGUGAUUAGGAACUUCACUAUGAAGCCAUCCGGGCCCGGAGCUUUAUUGUUGCCAAGUGCCUUUAAUGCCUUAAAGAUCUCCUCCUCACUGAAAAUUGGGUAACAAGAGCCUCAUUCUGAAUUGAGGAAACACAAGACCAAUUACUGUUAAUAGGGAUGAAUCUGUCCCCCGGAAUUCUGGUAUAAAGUGACUCAAAAAAUUCCAGCACAAGACGUUGUCAAUGUCGCGGAAUGAAGUCGAGACAACCCCAUCAUCAUUUUUUAAUUCAGUUAUGAGGUUCCUUCUUUUUUUCGCAUUUAAAAAACCGGUGGAAGAAGCUCGUAUUCUCAUCACCCAAAGAAAUGCCAAUUGAGUUUACUCUUCUGAAUAAAAUUACGCUCUUCGUUUUGAUAAAUACUAAGUAAUUCCGCUUGCAAAGCAGCUCUAGAAUUCAACUCUUCUUGAUUUGAAUCCAAUCAACUCAGCCACAGAAUCAUAUUUUUCUAAUUUUGACAUCAAGGAUUUCUCUGUUUUUUUUUACCUUAGCUUGCGCAGCAAUAUUCCAAGCUUUUACUGCCAAUUUAACUGAUCUCAACUGCUCAUGAAGAUAUGAAACCAACCCAUCCCUGGAAGUUAGAGUUGCUCACUAUUUCAACAAUAAUCUGAUUAGAAUCACUGGACACCAACCAGCUGUUACAAAACCGAAAAGGAGAGGGACCCCAAAGAAAAGAACUAGCCUCCAAGAAUAAAGGAAAGUAUCCGAGAAGAUGCGUGCUUUUCGAGAAACCCGAAGAAUUUUCAAAACAAACAUCCCACGUCUGAUUUUAUGAAGAAUCUGUCUAAUAAUGAUCUUCAACGAGAAUUACCGUCUCUAGACCUAAGUGAACCUUCCAUUUUGCAAUGGAAUUUCCAUGAGAGAAACCAUGUCAAUAAACUUAUUGAAUCAAUGACAUUCCUCUAGUACUUCUGCCAAAAGGAAAUCUUUCCCGGGCCCAACGAGUGAUAUUAAAAUCCCCACCUAUGCACCAGGCCACGACCGAACAAUCAGCCAAGGAAGACAAUUCGGGCCAAACCAAUUUCCUUUCUCUGCAACCACAAGGGCCAUAGACAUUUGUGAUCCAACAAACCUUUUUGCACAAAGUGAGGCAUUUGAUUGACAAAGAGAGGCGUCUUUUAAUGACCUCUGUUACAGAUAUUUUACUGCUAUCCCACAUGGUAAGAAUUCCCCCAGAAGAUCCAACAGAAGCCACAUAAUCCCAGCCAAUAUCCUUAGAACUCCACAAUGAUUUUAUAAAAGCCGAGUUCAAGGUGUCCUUAGAUUCUUGAAUCAUGACUACAAUUGUUGAUGAAUUUUUUAAGUGCUGCACGUUUAGAUGAGUUGUAAUAUGCAUUAUGCAUAUAUGUGGUUCCUGAGUUUGUAUAAAUAUUAUUUCUUAUAGUGUCAUUUAGUUUCUUUAAAAUAUUAAUAAUAAUAAAUAUAAAAAACAGUUUCUUUUACGAAAUUUUAUACACUGUCCAACUUUUUACUGAAUCAAACUCCAAAAAUAUGGUGAAUCCAAAAAUAAUUAAAGAAAUUGUAAUGUAUAACCAAAUAACUUGUAUAUUUUGUGAAUACAACAUAGUUCUGAUUUUUUUUUAUCUUUACACUUAUUUGUUUGUGGUGAAAAAUUGUUUUAUAAAGGAUUAGGACUUUAGUGAAAUAACUCUCAAAUUCCCUAAUGGAUAGCCAGUUUUAAUACUCCUAACGUAUGCAACUUUAGUGGAAUCUGGAUGGAUAUUAAUUGGAAUAACUCCUAACGUCAAAUAAAAAGCCUACAUCAUAAACUUCUUUUUAAAGGAACAUGACUCUUUUAAUUGGAUAAACAAGUCCUCUGGACGGGGUCCAUAUGAGAAAAGAACUUCUAGAAAAGUUUGUUAUCAAUGAUCUUUGUCAAUAUUCUUCCUUUGCAAAAUGAACCAAAAAUCUAGUGCAAUAUUCUUCGUACCUCCUACUCAUCCUCUAGACUUGUUUAUCCAUUGAACAAAAACAAAGGCUCCAUAAGAUAGGGUAUUUUUGGGAUAUUGCCUACAAUCAAGCGAAAAUCUAUCUAUAUAUUUUUUUGUGCCCAACUACUUCUAUCUUAGAUUUUUAUCUUUCUAUAUAUUCUCAUUUACAAAGAUCAAGCCUAGGUCUUGAACUUUUUCCAUAAGAAGUGGAAUCCUCUACUAGAGGUGCUGAGAACGAUAAUGUACGAGUCAGUCCGUGAAAAACUCACAACUGCUACGUGGGCUUCUUCAUCCUAAUCGAAUUUGCGGAAAUUCCAUCAUCUAUCCCAUGAAAGGGAAAUAGAAUUGAUUAUGUAUAAUAAUGAGUUACUUUGAAAGGAGUGCAAAAGAAAGGCAGAGGAGAAAAGGCGAGACCAAAAGCUUUACCGUCUUCUUUUGGAGCAGGAAGCCUCAUUCCUUCUUAUUUCCUUUUAUUCAUUCCCAGUUUCAGCUCUUCUUGCUAAGGAUGGAUCACUCUUUCAUUCAUGAGGUAAUUAGAUAAGUGGCUUAAAAGGAGAAAUAGAUAGUCGAAAUACCGUAGGUAUUAGCUCAAAUUCAGAAAUGCAAGGUUUUGACUCCCUCGCUCCUAUGCCUUCCUAUGCCUUUCAUCCUAAAGUUUCUGAAACUUCCUUUUAUUUCCAGGUAGACUUUUGAGAGCAGGAAGACAACUAAUCAUGCUGGUUGGAGUCUCCAACGAGUAUCUGGAUCUCCCCUCCUCCUCAAACCUUUUUUCUUAAAUGCGCUUCUCACGCAUAUUGAAUUGUGCCUCUUGGCACUACCCAUAAUGAUCCUUCUCAUUAUUUAAGUGCAUUUGAACCUUCUAAGCUCGAUCUCUUGUGAUAAAUGGACAUGAUACCUUCUUACAGAAAGACAAUUGUACCAGUUUGUAAUUAGGUUCUGCGUUGAAGACCUUAUUUGUAAAGCUCUCUAGAAAAUAGAUUGAAAACGAAGUGAAAGAAUUUCAUUUUGAUGCUUCACUCAAUUUUUUGGAGGUUUCGAAAAAGAACUGAAGGGGUACGAUCGACACUACGGGGUGUGGCUCAUGGUUGGUUAAGCUAGUGGCUAUCUCAUUGCUUAUGAGAAUUUCACAUUCAUACUCUUCAGAAAGGUUUUCUCGUAUUUGGCAUCCAACCUGAAUGGACAUCUAGAAUGGUUAAUAAUUUCUUCAUGCCUUGCUUAGCUUCUUCCUGAUUCCCAAACUAACGACACAAAGGCAAGGAAAAGAGGUGUGAAAAUAUAUUGAUAGUCGCGGCAAAGGUUGAGGUCUCAAGAAUCUUCCCCUAAUCUCAUCUACUCUAUGGUUGUCCUAUAUUCAUGUAUAUCAAGAAAAGCUAAAAGAUAGACACCCAUUCACUUUAUAUUAGUGUACAUAAAGUCAAAUUAUUCGAUCUGACAUUCUUCCAUUUCCUAAAGUCCUAAAAACAAGGUGCGUGCAGACGCGAGGUUCUAAUUGAUCAGUAGUUGAAGGAGAGAAAGUAGCUUAUUUGCUAAGAAAUUCUUUAUUACUAUGGUAUGAUGAACAAGUAAGAAGGAGGGAAGGAAAAAGUCCAACAAAAGGAACCUACGACAAGGAAGGAAAGCCUAUUACCCACAAGAGUGCAGAAUCAAGGAAAAGUUUGCGGGUACGAGCUCUCUUUCAUUCGUCGAACUCAAGCAAUCUCCGUUUUACACCUCUACUAAACUGAAUUAAUUGGCUUUUCCAAAACUAGUAAAAAAACAUAGUAAACCUUGGACCUAUGGCUAUCCAACCAGGUCUUUCCACAUAAAUGGGUAAUGAGGUAGAAAGGAAUAGCGAAGAUCAGUUAAAGAUCAAGAGGCAUCAAAAUGAAAUUCUCCUUAUAUCUUUUCUUUCGAGAUGAUUAACUUCCUUAUUUUUAUAUCUUGAGUCUAUCUUCUUCUUUCUUUAUGUAAGACCCAAACUUUGGGUAGUGUAGUCUUUUUACAAAGAGUUUAAGAGGUUUGAAAGAAGGAAAGUUUUUGGUUCAAUAUCAAAGAAUAGUACUUUUUAAGGCGUAUUGAUGUUGACUUGGCAAAAUGGGUUUUAGAGGUUAGGGUUUAGGGUUUUGUGUGUUUAAGAGUUGGCAAGAAAGAAGGUAUUAAAGAGGUUAGGUGUUUUAGCUAACUUCAGAAAGCGAGUUUCUCACAACUCGGAAAAUUACACUCAAUCUAGACUUGAAAAACCUCAUAAUUUGAGUCUAGUUUAUUGAAGAAGGUUGCUGGGCGUUUUGGAUAUGAGAAAGUUGACGUUUGGACAAAAGAAGGCAAAAGGGUCAGUUUGCGAGUGAAUCUGAGCAAGCUACACUCUUAGAACGCUACAGAACGCAUCGUUUGGCGUUUUCUUCCCUCAAAAUUUCAGGAAAAAUUUUUUAGGGAAGAAAACACAUUUAGAGAAACUUUGUAGAAGAAAGUUUUGUCAAAAGAGUUAUGGAUUUUAAGUUAUAACUUUUCUAAGUUGGGUUAUGUAGUUUGGGCGAGAAACUAGGUGAGAUGACCUUGGAAGUUAACUAUGCGUUUUGGACAACUAUGUGGCAUGAUAAGGGCAAGCGGUUUAAGGUUUUAGUGAGGUGUAAAACCUUGUUAGCAUGCAUUUUAAGGUGUAAAGUAAGUAGGAGGUUCCUUAAGAAGGUUUAAGGUGAAUUUAAGCAACUGAUGAGGUGUCAACUUGUACUCAUGCAAUGAACUCUAUAAAUAGGCCAAAUUUAGUAUUAAGUUUCUCACAAUCCACUCGAGUGUUUUGAGUGAAAUUAGUCUUAAAAGUUUUCAUUUUGUAGUCUAUUUUCUAAGUUGGGGUUUUUGAUUUAAUUUGAGUAACGGAGAGUUGCGUUUUGGCGGUAGAAAGCAAGAAAGGUCAGAAUACAGGUGGUUCUGAACAAUGUGAACUUCCAGAGGGCUGUAGAGUACAUCCGUUGGAAUCUGAAGUUGAAAAUUUUAGGUAUGAAUAACAAGACGUUUUUCAACAACUUUGUAGAAGGAUAUAUGUUUAUUUGAGUUCUGGAUUUUAAGUUCUAAAGCUCUUGCCGAAUUAUGGUUGAUUAAUCAUUGAUGUCCUUAAAAGUAGAAACGUGACAUAUCAUGUAUGCCCUUAAGUAUCUCAAGCUUGUGUAGGCCAAGUUCAAAAAAGAAAAUCAAUUAUGUUUAAUAAGGAAGAAAUAAAAUAUAACUUGUACAAAUAUUCUGAAAAUCAAAUGAAUAAAUGGAGUAAACACAAACUACAAUUAUAAACAUCCAGAAGGGUCAAAUGUCUACGAAUUGACUAAUGAGAUUCAAAAAUACCAGUCAUGCUUGCAUAACUGACUGAAAAAAAUGUAAUGUUUCCAAAAGAUGCCGCAUAUCUCAAGUCCAUUAUAAGAAAACCUAAUGUUCUUCAGUUUGUAGUAUCAACAAUGCAUGAGUAGUGUUAAACAUGUUAUUUCAUUUAGUUUGCGAACUAGUAUGACCUUCCUCUAUUCUCAUUCAUUCAUCAUCGAUCAAACAAAGUUUAAAGAAAUUUGAUCACAAAAGCUCUUUCAAACUAAAAAAAUAAAAAUAAAAACAAACAAAUAGAUUAAAAAAAAAUUAAUUAUACCAAACAAGGAAUAAUUAACUAAACAAAAUGUAAGGGAUUGAAUCUUAAGAAAACAAAUUACUAAAACCAUAUCUGAUACAAAUUUAGGGGGUUUUUUUGUCUAUCAAAUAAACCAAUAAAACCAAUCAACUUCAAGAAUUAAAAUUCACAAAAAUAAUUCAAUAAAAGAAUGGCAAAAAGACCUCAAUAUCACAAAAUUAAUAAGACGGAAUAGAUGCAUUCGUACAAACUUGUUUUAUUGCAUGCUCACCACCCCUUCCAAAAUUUAUUUGAUAAAAAUUUAGUAAACUUAAAACACAGACAAUAACAAAAUUGUUGCAAACCUGCAUUUACUGGUCAAUGUCUUUAAAUAAGCAUUCUCUGACGUCAAUUCUUGAUUUUUAACUUCAUAAGCAAUCCACCUAACCAUGAGACAAUUAUGAGAAUAUGUUCAUUUAACCACUAACAAUCAUGCUCAUGCACAAACAUUUAAAAUAGAGGUUUUAACAUACUAUCCUUUUAUAGAAAUCGUUAUCAGUUUUCUUGCCAUUCCAAGUUCCACGUCGUCACCCCUCUUUCUGUUCAUAUCAUACAUUACAAAAGCCAGUAAAUGAAAGGAAUGAUUCCAUUAGUCGGGUAAAAUAUUGAUAAAUAACUUAAAAUAUACUUGUAGCAAAUUCAUUAUCUCCGUUCCUGAUAUAGAUGCUUUCUUUUUCUCCAUUAAGACUUGAUACUUUGGUUUAGACAUACAAAAACUCCUAUAUAACCUGAAUCCAACUUGAGCCUAGAACCGAAAAAUAACCUAAAAGGUAUCUCACACACAAUUUGAUGUACUCCUUUUCUUUCUUCUUCACCUCAGGUAUUUGUUGAGUUCCUACUUGCUUUGCACACAAACAGAAAACCAACAUUAGUACUAAAAUUAAUUACAUAGAAACUAGUAUCUAUCUCACAGCAUCCAACUACCAUAACCUGAUUGCCAAUAACCCUUCCUCAGGAGUUCAACAUUUUCCUACUGUAGCUUGUCAAUUUGAGCUUUAAAAGCAGCCUUACCUUUGGCUUCCUGUGGAAAAGAACUUCCUUGUUCAAUGUUAAAUAGAGAGAAAUCAUAGAAUUUAGACAAGUCUCGAGAUUGUACUAUUCGUGUAACUGUUGCAAUCUCCCUAUCUUUAAACUUGUACUACCGACUUUAGCCUCUCAACUUUGAUGUCUUCACAACAUCAGAUAUGAUUUAUAUUGUACCCUGACACAAGAAUAUAAAGGUGACUGAAUACACGGAACCAUGGUUGUGUGAAGGAAUAUUAAAAAGCUUUGCAACAUUAUUACCCUGAAAUGUAGAGACCUUUUAUUCCAUAUCUUAAACCAAUCUCCCACAACAAGAAAUGAACCAAAAUUAGAAACAGCAGCUCUUUCAACACUACCGAAAGACAUAAUCUCACGAAGACACUUAGUUUAUAAAAUCGAAUCUUUAACGCAUCACCAUUCUCAUCAAAUGUUAAACAAAUCUCCUUCUUAAUUCCAAUUAUUUGAUAAGCGAGAAAACAAAAUAGAUCAUUAAGUAACACAAAUUCACGAAAAAUCAAACAUAAUAGAUCGUUAAAUUGAAAUGUGACGGUAGAACUUGACUAAGCCUGAUCCUCUUAGCUCAGAAGACAAGGACGGGUCGUGUUAUGAGAAAUGUCAAGGUAGACUUAACUAAAACUUAACUAAGCAUGGAUAACAGAGUAAUUUUUCUUUCCAUUCCAACAAAUGCAAAAUGAAAAUCACAAAAGAAUCUCACAUAAUACAAAUAAAAAAUUCUUCCAUUAUCUUCUUCAGAACACAAGCAUCUCUAAUCUCCACCACCGACAAAGACCCAAGACAUUAAAAUUAAGAACAUAUAGAAUCAAAAGCAACACAAAAGACCAAAGAGAGAGAGAAAAAGAUGGUUCAACAUCUAAUAACCAUAAUGAUAGAACAAUCAACAACAAACUAAUGUCAUAUCUCAUCAAAUUUUUCCAAAAAAUGAAAUAAAAGAGAAAGGAAGUAAGAAUCAGACAAGCCAACGAUACCAUGUCUAUUUUUGCAUUUGAAUUUUUCCUACCUCUGUUAAGUUCCAAACAUGUUUUCGAGUCAUUGGAAAUUACUUUUUAUGUUACAAAAUCACUUGGUAAAAGUAUAGACACAAACGAACGUUAAUAUGCCAUGAAAUAUCACUUUUAACAAAACAUUUAGCUUUGUAAAAAUCAAUUUUGUUAACUAGUUUCGUAAAAACACUCUCAAAUAUGUCUUCCAUAACCUGGUUUAAGUUUUCAAGAAAAAUGACUAAUGGGCCAGGAUACUCAUGCCAUGGAGUGGCAAAAAAGAGGUUGAGCUUUGUAUUUUAAGUAUCAUGUUGAUGAAGACAUGUAAAAGGUCUUAUGAUACAUAUCAGUUGAGAAAACAAGUAAUAAAAGAGAAAUAUUUGAGUGUAUCAAGAAAGCACCAAUACAUAUAGAAGCUUAAGCUAAUGGAUAAGAGAGUAAAUUUAACAUAACAUCCAACACUCUUUCUCACUUGUGAGUUUGCAAAUAUGAAAACCUAGAGCCACGCUAAGUGAGAAUGUAAGUGCGUAUAUUCAUGAAAUAAGAUGUUAGCUCGUAAGACAUUGAUUUGAAGUAAAUAAGAUAUAGCAAUAUAAGAAUAGAUACGUUGUGGUACGUUAUACCAACACAUAGAUUUUAACUGUUAAAUCAAAAAAGAAAAAACAAAAACAAAAACCAAAAACAAACAAUAAAAGGCAUUAUUAAGGCGUAGUUAUAUGUAUCAUGGUAAUUAACAUUUUUAAGCAAAGCUAGAUGGACUCACUGGCUACAAGAAAUAGACAAUAAUUUGGAUAAAGGCAAGGCUAAGGAAGGGAUCUCGAGUGAUAGAAAAAGAGACGAAAAGGGACAAUAAGGGUACCAUAAAAGUAAUGGAAAUUUUUAAUUGGACAAACCAUUCAACGUAAUUCCCCCCCACGGUAACUUGGUCCAUAAAUUUCAUAAAAUCUAAUCACUCCUUCCAACCUGUCCUUCCCAUUCAUCUAAAUUCCCUUUGACUCCUUAACAAAACAACCCGAUUAUUUGCUUACAUGAUCAAUCAUCAUUUAUAUUCCCUCUCUUUUUCUGUGUACAAAACACCUUAGAUUCUCUUCUAAUUCCACCCUAAGAGAAACCUGAAAUUUAUCACCUACUGCACAGCCUAAUAUCUUCCAUUGUCAUUGUAGCGUUUAGGCUUAGAGGUAGAUGACAUCCAAAUGAAAUACUUUAAAAGUACAUAAAGUACAGCACUUGGAAAUCACCAAUCUAAGAUGUGAUAAGAUCUCUACUUCACCCCUAGUAAGCACAGAAAUACUGAGAAAUUAAAAAGAAACUGUAAUAAGAACACAAGAAGAAGAAAAUAUUACGUAUUGUUGAUGAACUUACUUUGAGUCAAUCACGAAUUCAACACAUCUCAUCUAACCAUUUAACUUUGUUGGCAUUUCAAACAUGAUGAACAUUUCAAUUCAACUCUUUUGUCUCUUGAGUACUGUAAGCUUUAGACUGAUGAUUAUGUAUUCAAUCCUCUUCAAGGGAAUUCUAUGGUCUUGCAUGAAAGGGUUUGGUAGGAAUUCUUUCUUUUUCUCCAUUAAGACUUGAGUUUAGACAUACAAAAGCUCCUAUCUCAGUUGUAAAUAAUAAACACCUCUAACAGAGUCCAACUUGAGCCUAGAACCGAAAAAUAACUAAAAGGUUCUCACCUGCAAUUUGAUGUACUCCUUUUCUUUCUUCUUCAUCUCAUGUAUUUGUUGAGUUCUUACUUGCUUUGCACACAAACAGAAAACAACAUUAGUACUAAAAUUAUUACAUAGAAACUAGUAUCUAUCUCACAGCAUCCAACUACCAUAACCUGAUUGCCAAUAACCCUUCAUCUGGAGUUCAACAUUUUCCUACUGUAUUGUUGUCAAUUUGAGCUUUAAAAGCAGCCUUACCUUUGGCUUCCUGUGGAAAAGAACUUCCUUGUUCAAUGUUAAAUAGAGAGAAAUCAUAGAAUUUAGACAAGUCUCGAGAUUGUACUAUUCGUGUAACUGUUGCAAUCUCCCUAUCUUUAACUUGUACUACCGACUUUAGCCUCUCAACUUUGGUCUCCAACCUUGAUAUAUCUUAAUGUAGCCUGCCACAAGAAAAUAAAGGUGACUGAAUACAGGGAACCAUGGUUGUGUGAAGGAAUAUUAAAAAGCUUUGCAACAUUAUUAACCUGAAAGUGAACUACAUUUAUUCCAUAUCUUAAACCAAUCUCCCAUAACAAGAAAUGAACCAAACAUUAGAAACUAGUAGCUGGAUUUCAACACUACCGAAAGACAUAAUCUCACGAAGAUCACUUUUGGCAAUAAAAUCGAAUCUUUACACGCAUUCCACCAUUCUCAUCAAAUGUAUGAAUUCAAAUCUCCUCUUAAUUCCAAUUAUUUGAUAAGCGAGAAACAAAAUGAGAUCAUUAAGUAACACAAAUUCACGAAAAAUCAAACAUAAUAGAUCAUUAAAUUGAAAUGUGACGGUAGACUUGACUAAGCCUGAUCCUCUUAGCUCAGAAGACAAGGACGGGUCGUGUUAUGAGAAAUGUCAAGGUAGACUGAAAUCUCACUGUAAGUCACUAGUCAAAUAAACCAACAGUUUUAAAACAAAGCAAAACAAUAACAAAAACCCACAAAGAUGUUGUAACGACAGUAAGACAUAUUGGUUAUGAUAAACAUAUACUACUAUGAGUUAGGAAGAUCAUGGAUCCAGCCAAAAUUAUAGAUGAAUCAGUGAUAAUCAAAAGUUGAAAUCAGUGAUAUCGAAUAUUUCUUUAACCCAAUAUGUUUAAGGUUGCAUUUUGUUGUUUCUCACACACAUCUUGUGACUAUGAUCAAAGCGUUGAAAGUGCAAGAAUAUAAGUUAUAGAAUAGAUAGAUUCAAAUAUAUUAGCAAUAUUUUUGCUGGGUACAUUUCAGAUUUUGGAAGGUAAGAAAUUAUAUGGAAUGAUAAAUCAAAUAUAGUUCAGAGACAUGGCACCUUUUCCUCACGUAGCUCCACUAAAACAAAGUGGUAAAGGGGAGAAAGCUAAAAGUGGUAAAUGCCUUCUUCGCUAAAAUGUGGCAAAUGCCUUCUUCUUUCAAACAUGAAGAGAUUGAUCACAAAGUCAAGUUGAAAGCUAAAAAAACUAAAGCCUCUAAUUGGCAGAAAAUUUUGUUUCACAAAAUUAUGCUUAUGAAAAUUACUUAUGACUAAACUUCUUUGUAACAAUUGAUAAAAAUGUUCUUGAAAACUACUUUUUCUUUCCUAGUCUUUUAAACAGAAGAAACAAACAAAACUAAAAGCAAAAUUAUUAGAAAAUGUGCCUAAAUGGACAAAUAGUCAGUAGGAAGAAGAGGUGUUGCAAUAUAUUAGGUUAAAAUGUUGAACUAUGAUGCUAACUAGAAGAGAGCAGACCACCGCACCCUGAUGAAAGUCACAUGGGAUGAGACAUUGUUCUUGGUCAGAUUGUAUCUUCUUCAAAAUCUUGAAGCAAAAGCUCCAAGCUCAUCGUAGAUUGAUGGGAUUGAUUGAGAUUUACUUAUGCAUCUGUAGGCCAUUUGCUUUUGGAAAGGAAAUGGGUCGAAAACAUUGAAGGGAAAGUGAGUUAUCAUGCUCUCAUUGUUUCACAUGUGAUACAACUGGUUAGUUCGCAGUUUCGCAGUUAAAUAAUCUUAGUAGACUAAAUUGUUCAAUCAUGAGGAGUCUACACCAUAGAACCGAAACGAUAUGUCGUCAGAAUGUCAUUAUAACCGUAUGGAUUCACUAAUCUACCAAACAAUAAUGCAGGCAAUCGCUCAAAACAUCAACGAGAAGCCGCAAUUAAACCUGAUCAAUGACAUUGUGUGCAUAUUUCUAAUGACUCACAUCAUCAAUUAAAAAAGGAGAAUAAUGCCAAUAGUUUAUGAUCUAUAAUUUCUUUGACCUUCUACUGGGAACAUCUGGGAUAUCCACGUCCCUGAAAAGAAACGCAAAGUUCAGCAUUUGAGUAGGAGAAAAUGUUCAAGUUUGUAGGACUUGCUCGUGCUCACCGUGAUUGACAAUGCAACCGGUACUCUCUGACUGCAGAAACCGGUCACUCUUGCUAGAACGCUGGAAAAACUGCACGCUCAAAAUUUAUGACAACUACCAGAUACCAUUUAAAUGAUCAUAUACUGUGAACAGCGGUGCCUAAAUCAUUGAGCUAUUCCUUGAACAGUGAUCGCAUGAGCUUUUAAUGCACUAUAAGCUUUGACCAAUGAUUGCUUUCAUCGUUUUACAACCGAUUUGUAUGUAAACUCAUGCAUUGCAGCUCAGUAAAUAGUCUUUGCAUAUAAAAAUAAAAAAUCAAUCAUAAAGCAUGGAGAACUCGGUGCAGAGCAAGUGCCAUAGUUUAAGAGAGAGUAAUCCAAUCUUGACGACUCCUGACAUUACCAAGGAGUUUAGAAAAUUUACCUCCAACUCAUCAUUACUUAUCGAACCCGGCAGUAAAAAAUCUAAACUCUGAAAUAUUUAUCUCAUCAAAAAAAGCUACGAAAGAGUCAUGUAUGAAAAUCCCCCAGAAAUCGAGGUUCACAUAUAUAAAAGGAGGGGCAGAUAACGACAAUAGAACAGUAACAAUUAAUGACCUUUGAGGGAAUGAUCGGAAAGGGAUCAUUCUGAGUGGGGCACCAUCGUCGCUCUAGUGAAUGAAAGAACUUGAUGUAAGGAGGUAUAUCAAAUCUACGGUCUUUUCAGGAUUGGGUAGGUAGGUUCUUAUUUUCAUUUAUGUCCAAGUCGGCUGCCCAAUUGUCAACCUGGGGAGGAUAUCCAGCAUCCGAUCACCAAAAGGAAGCGUGGGUAUGUUCAACUUUACCUAUUCUUAUCCGCUUCGGUUAUUUUGGAUCCAUUGUGACUAGUGUAAUCUUUUGGGCAUUCAUAACAUAAAUGCCCAUAAGUUUAGCAGCAGUCGUUGCUCCUACUGUUUUGCUCAUUAACCCUGUGUGUGGAAAUAUUUGUGUGUGUUUAGUAUGAGUCGCUAUAGCAUCCUUGGUAUCAGGGCCAUCCACACUGGGGUGGUGAACACGUCUAAUGGCCUUCACCGCGACAAAUUGAGAGAUAAACGGGUAGAUGUGAACGCCGCGAGAAAAGAAAAUAUGUCGAGCUUUCAACACCGGAACAUGAUCGAUCUUACUAGAGUUGAAGAAAUCGAUGAAUCGAACGGCGGAUGAAAUGCGAGAAUAGGCCACAUUGUACACAAAGAAGAGAAGAGUUCGAGGGAACUGAACCGAUGGCUCGAUGUUCAAACUUAAAGGAAGAGUGUGAGAGUGAGUGCGAUUGCGAUGAGAACAACCAUUGCGAAGCCAAGUGCUACGGUGAACACAGACCGUAGCUAAGGGUCACAAGAAGGCUUGAAAUGUCAAUGUUCAUCGAAGGUUGAAUCCUCGAAUCCUGGGCAUACCGUGCUAAAGCAUUUCUUUCCCUUGGGCGAAAUUAAUUAACCUACUUGAAGCAGAGAAAGUCUAUAGAGUGAACCUAUUGACUUAAGGUUUCGGAUAUGGAAGAAGAAGUAGGAUUGAGAUAAUUAGGUGGAGCGCACCAUUCGAAAGAAGGUUGAAUCCUGGGAGGACUUGGAAAGUAAGGAUUGUUCGAAUUGAUUUUUUCAAUGACACGGGACACGAAGAAGCUUCAGGGGCAUUUUGCACUAUCACUCCGUAUCAAGCAAUUGUUUAAGGAUCUUUAUAGUGACAUCAUAUGCACAUAAGGAAAUUCGUUUAGCUUAAUUCAGCUCCACUGCCCGACAGUGGCAGUUAAAAUAGUACUGCCAAGGGUACGCAAUAUUAUAUUACUAGGGCUUCGAACCAGUCACUACAAGCUGAAGUGAUUAGUAGACUGUGAGACCCCCAAUCAUUACAAUACGUAUGUUAGGAUAAGGGAUUAUACUCCACCAACAUUGAUAAGGAGAGAGACCAUUCUGAGUGGGAAAUAGAAAGAAUGUGCAGGUGAGGUCCCACUGGGUAGAGAAAUUUGUAGGGUGAAGUAUAAAUAGAAUGAUAUGAGAAAUAGGGAUAGGUAUCUUUUUGGUUUAGUCUAAUCUUAAGUAAGGGAGGUCGGCCAAGCAGCCACGAUCAGGAGAGGGGUAUCCUUCUUGUGAAGGGUGCUGGUAAUGUUCUUCGUUGUUCAUUGUCAUCGAUUAGUUUUCAUUCCUUAUUGUAGCUGUAACUUUGGGCUAUAUAUAAUAAAUAAAGGAAAUUUGCACGUAUGGCUGCUGUCUAAACUGUAUAUUUUAAGCCAUAGUUGGGUAUUUUAUUAGAAGAGGGUGUUAGAAUCCUAACAUAGACAACCCUCAAACCUUAGAGGAGUGUAUCAAGGAGGCUCAACUCGUUGAAUGAUAAGAAUAUUUUAUGCCUUACAAUUAGCCAUAGGCAGAUUUCGGGGCAAAAGUGAGCUCAAAAGAAUGUGAGAGCAAUCCAUCAUUUCAUUAGGACUAUUAUUCGAAAGUAAACAAUGUAGGAAGAAUGAGCCAAAGAAAACGUUCAAGUGUUGUUCCAGUUCGAAAUAAAUAAUGUCAUUCCGGUCACUAAGUAGGUAUACCAAAAAAAUAGAUCUAAACCAGGUUAACGAGGCUAUCACUGUACACACGAGAUUUAGAGCAAAGGCUUGACAAAGAGUUGUGCUUCAGAUGUUAAUGAAAAAUGUGCAUUCAACCUCGGCCAUAAAAGCCUUUGAAGGUUUCACUAGAAUAAAAGUUAGAGUUGAUAACUUCUUGAUUUCGAUCUUUAGGAUAUUGUAGUUGCAAGUAGAGUUGAACGAGGAUCGGAUGGACUCCAUGCAGAGGUGAGGCAGAGGAAAUGAUAGAAGUUGUUAAUCUCCAGAUUGAUAUGAACUUUGACAUCUUGAGAGCUCGCUGAGGUUUGAAUCUUAAGAGCUUCAGUACAUGGGAGGUUCAAUUCUUUAUCCAACGAGAGACCCCUAUGAAAUUGAAAGGUCAUGGUCUCGAUUUAUAGAGAAAUUGGAUGGGCUUUAGGUGAACUUGGGCUCAUUUGAUUGCUACAGUUGGACUUGCGACAAAUUAAUUGUUGGGCUUGGACUUCAGUCCAUUUCAGAGUUGAGUUGGAAGAUCUGCCGAUCUAGUCAUUCGACUUGGCCAAGUACCCAAUUUUUUUGUUGGAUGUGAAUCCAGUUGGAGAUGAGUACACGUUGUGAAGGAAAGGGAAACACUGUAUAUGAGGGUAAAAUUGAUUGUGUUGAUAAGGAGUAAUUUAAUCGAUCAUAGCUGACUUCUUAGCAAUUGAAACCUUUUAGGGAAUUGUGGACGUUGGUAUGUUGGGUGAAUCGCGAAAACGAUAGGCUGGAAUAUCUGACUGGAACCAUGGAUUAGGUGCUAGUUAAUAGGCCAAUUCCCUCAUACUAUGACAUUCUGGACAAAAGUGUGAAGAAGAUGUAAUACGAAGUUUGGUCAAUUUAUAUGGUGGAUCACUUCAAGCUUCAUCUAAGGCAGAAAUGCUCGUUGAGGACCGCUAGACUGAAAAACAUGGCAGACGAAGGGAGCCAAGGAGUUCCUUUUAGAACUACAAAACUAUGAAAUCGAAAAUGGAGAUGGAUGAGUGAUCGACAGCAAAAAACCGAAGACAAAAAUGGAGAUAGAGAAAGAAUCUACUGCCAUGGUUCAAAGAUUUAACUGCAGAUACAGAUACGAUGGACUGCAGUAUUUGAAUCACCGCGAUGGAGUUUAACCUCCACAUAUCGAAGACCGAGUUGGAGAUCCGAUCGGCUAUAUUACAUCCAUGCUGGAGAUCCAAUCGACUGCGCCACAUCAACGUUCGACAAUGUAGAUGGACAUUGUACAAAAUGGAGCAAAUUGAAGAAGAAGUUGGUGAUAGAAGAUGCGUACAUGGCAGAUGGUGAUGUAGAUCGAGAUAACAGCCCUUACUCCAAGAUGCCGGUGGUUAUUAGUGCGGCACAUCAAAGAUGAUGACGACCACAUGGGGGUUGGAGAUUUUGAUGGCUGCGACUACCGCAGAGCUGCAAACCAUGGUAACAGUAUCAGAUCAAAUUCCCUAUCCCGAUAAUUGAAGAACUACUAGAUAAACUACAUGGUGGCAACUAUGAUUCAUCCAAGAUUAUGACUUUAAAAUCGAGGAUACACAUGAUGACAAAUGCAACGGAUGAAGGAGGAAGAUGGUGAUGACUGCAAUACAUGGACAUUUCGACACUCACGGAAGCGACACUACGAAGAUUCUUAUGGUUACUGCCACUUCGAAGCCUCAGACAAUGACCCCAGCAACACAUUCCAAUCUCUAAUGAAUCAGGUAUUCAAACCCUUUCUUAUGGAGAUGAUGAUUCUUGUAUUUUUUGCAGAUGGAUAUUCUUACGACUGCUACACGUCGAAGAUGCAUAUGAUAACGAUUGAGACAUGUCGAAGAUGCAUUUGGUGACAACUGCGUUUUUUCAAUACUGAAGGAUAAUGUAAUUAUUUGCAAAUCAGAGAUGAAAAUGAUGAUUAUAGCAACACCCCCAAGAUUCAGAUGAUAUUGAGGGCAACACCUAGGAUUUCUAGCCGAGGAUGUUGAAGUCUGCAUGAAGUAAAAGAAUUUGAAGCAUGAUUAAUUUUGGCCACAACACAAAAGACAUCAUCUGGCUGAAGAGGAUUUCUUUAGAAUAUAACACGUGUUAUUAUAUGAAAAUGAGUCCUCUCGGUGUAAGAUUUAUGAGAAGAGGAAUCAUCUCGGCAGCAACACAUUUAAAAGCUGAAGAUUACUUCAGAAGAAUGCAUUCAAAUGGAGAUGAGGAAGACAAACAUCAGUUCAUUUGCAGCAACCGAGAGAUUAUGCAGAUGACAACCAUAUCAGCUGCUAGCACUUGCCUGAAUUGGUCAUUGUCGUUUACUAUUGAGACUGAUGCUUCAGGAGUGGGAUUUCUUAGGAGUGGUAGCUGCUCAUCAAGGAGACAUCCUAUCGACCUUACUUCAAUCAGAAACUAUCAAGAGCCCAAUCUAAGUGCUACUGAUAUGAAAGGGAACUUGAUGCUGCCUACGUAUCGUUUUUAUCAGUGCAGAAAUGGAGGCACUACCUACUGGGAAGGAGAAUUCACUAUUAUUUCAGAUUCAGUGAUUAAGCUCUCAAAUUCUUGUGGACUAAGAGCAUCAUGCAAGGGAGGCUCUUGCGAUAAGGACCUUUACACAUUUCAGAAAUAGUUUCGAACAAAACUUCUUGGGCUUAUUGAUUUCGAGAUAUUGGUGAAUACAACCAGACUUGGCUUCAGAAUAAAGGGACCUGCUGAUGCUUCUUUCAAGGAAGGACUUCCAAACCGUGCGAAUUGAGACACAACUGACUAUCAACUCGGCAUUAUUUUCGUCAUGAAGUGAUUUGAGCUUAAUAGUUAGAAGGAAGUUGAGAUAUUGAUCACAAGUAACUCCAAGAGAUCAUAAGCAGAGGUUGAAAGGGGGUGGACCAGGGAUGUGGAAAUAUCAAUGGAUUAAUGAUAAGCUGCUGUAUGAAAGGAAGGAUAGUGUUAAUCACGACAUUCCUCCCUCAUUCCUAGGUUGUUGCACAACCUUCCCAUGACUCCAUACUAGGAGGUCAUUCCGAUUUCUUGAGACGAUCUUAGACAAAAGUGAUUAGUGGAGAAUUGUUUUGGAUAGGGAAUGAAAGCAGAUGAUGAAGAAGUGACGUGGAAGAAUGUGACAUAUGCCAACAAAACAAAUUCGAAGACUACCAAUACCAGCCAGAGUUGACAACCCAUUCCCAUUCCCGAGAGGAUAUUGGAAGAUUAUCGACAAUGGAUGUCUUAUGAGGACCUCAUCUUUUCCUUAGAUUGGCUUAGACUUAUACAUGUAAUUAUGGUGAACCAUUGUUUCCUGACCAGCUUCCUGUACCAUUGGGUCUGAUGCAAAUAACACUUCGAGUUUGACGAAAACCGAAGGUCUACACGAUUUACGAGUUUUGACUGUCCAUUUUUCGCAAUCAUUUGCAAUAGGCUGUUCUUGGAUUUGAUUUUCUCUUUGUCUCGAUCGUGGACUACAAUCGAACGUGUAGAGCUUCAAUAUGGCCGACACUAAACAAAGUUUUGGUAGUACUCACAACGUUAUGUCCCUUGCGGAACACUCUAAGUCAUCACAAUUACAACAUGAUUAGUCUGAGCUAAUGGAUCCAUAUCUAUUACGAUUGGCGUUUCAGGAGCCAAUUUUAUAUUUAGUUUGAGAAGUACUGAUAUGGAUGAUCAUAUGAUUGAAGAAUCCCCCAAAAGAUGCAAAGCAGAAGUAAGGAUCAUCGGCUUUCUGUGAUUGAUUCGCCCGUUUGUAUUCUGUCAGAUCAAGAAGUUGCUAAUCUGAGAGUGAGAUUAAUUGGAUUGGUUGAUCACUGUGAGGAUCUGGUUAAAGAACUUUCUGGAAUUUCUUUAAGGGAUUUUCUAUACCUCUAGGUAAAGAGCAAGUGCAUAGAAUGUUUGAAGUCUUGUAGUGCAAGAUUUUUUCGGGGUUGCAGGAACAACGAAAGACUGAGUUCUGUCACCAGCUGUAAUCUUUAUAGCGGCAUUAAGAAGAUCAUUGCCGAGCUUGGCUUGUUGAAUUAAAAAACCUUUUAGUCCUCUACGAGUGUUACUAAGUUCCAUAUCAAGUUCAACGAGUAGCAAAAUCGGCAAAUGUGUAUGAUUUUAUCCCCUGCAAAAUAUAGAGCUCUUACCAAUGAAUGCCUUGGGUGCACAUCUCGGCUAAAGACAUUUCUAUGAGCUUCUCUCUGCACUCCAGGCUUAGAGCUCUCCAUCAUUUAUGUAGUUGAUGCCUGGCUCACUCGAGUCCUAUUCGCUAUUUGUCAAAGCCAUCAUGCCGACGAUACGCUGUGUGCUGUAAAUUCGCUUCAGAAAGUCCCAGUCAAGUUGCUCCCAACUAUCAAUGGAUUCAUGUUCAAGAACAAUGAACCCUUCGAAGGCGUUACCUUUCAGAGUUCGAAUAGUACUGAUUCAUCGACAAAUCUCAGAGCCUAGUAGGAGAUUCACAUGUUUCAGUGAACUGAGCAACGUGUUGUCUUGGGUAAGCCAGGCCAUCAAACUGUUGAAACGUGAUUGGUCGGUAUCAAUUCGGCAUUAUAUAAGAAUAGUCAACGGUCUCAACAUGCUCAGAUAGCCUCCACAUGUGAUAUACCAGAGGCGUCAGUUACUAUUUCGGCAGAUGAGUUUGCUAAGUUUCAGAAUUACCAAGAGUCAUUACAAGCGUCAUCUUCCUCUACUCCGAUUGCAUCCACUGUUGCCCCAGGUAAUAUAAAGUAUCUUCUUACAUCAUCUACCAAAUGGGUCAUAGACUCUGGUGCCACAGCUCAUAUGACAGGUAAUUCUCACCUAUUUUCUAGACCGUUGUCCCCUGCCCCUUUUCCAUCGGUUACAUUGGCCGAUGGCUCCACAUCUUCUGUUCUUGGCUCUGGCACUAUUCACCUUACCCCAUCAUUUUCUCUCUCUUCUGUGUUACAUUUGCCUAACUUAUCCUUUAAUUUAAUUUCUACUAGUCAACUUACUCAUGACCUAAAUUGUGUUGUCAUGUUCUUUUCUGGUUAUUGCUUGUUUCAGGAUCGUGUGACGAAGAAGAUUAUUGGUAGAGGAUAUGAGUCAGGAGGCCUUUAUCUCUUUGAUCAUCAAGUAUCGCAAGCUGUGGCGUGUCCUGUCGUUCCCUCUCCUUUUGAAGUCCAUUGUCGUUUAGGUCAUCCAUCUUUGUUCGUGUUGAAGAAACUUUAUCCAGAAUUUAGGUCUUUGUCCUCUUUAAAUUGUGAUUCGUGUCAAUUUGCGAAAUUUCAUCGUCUUAGUUCGAGUCCUCGAGUCGAUAAACGAGCAAUUGCUCCAUUUGAGUUACUUCAUUCUGAUAUUUGGGGUCCGUGUCCAGUUGCAUCUCAAACGGGCUUUCGUUAUUUUGUUACUUUUGUUGACGAUCAUUCUCGUCUAACUUGGUUAUAUUUAAUGUCUCUACAGCUUGUUUUUUGAUUAAUAGAAUGCCUUCCUCUGUUCUUAAUGGUGAGAUUCCCUAUCGUGUUCUUUUUCCUACCAAGCAUUUGUUUCCUAUUGCUCCUAAGAUAUUUGGUUGUGUCUGUUUUGUUCGUGACGUUCGUCCUCAUCAUACUAAGUUAGAUCCCAAAUCCUUGAAGUGUAUCUUCUUGGGUUAUUCACGUGUUCAAAAGGGUUAUCGUUGUCAUUGUCCUACCCUUAAAAGGUAUCUGGUUUCGCCUGAUGUUGUCUUUUUUGAAGAUACACCCUUUACUUCAUCACCAUCGAGUUUGUGUCAGGGGGAGGAUGACAAUCUUUUUAUAUAUGAGGUUACCUCUCCCACACCAUCCUUGUCUACUGAUGUGCCUCCUUCCCGCCCGUUGAUUUCUCAAGUCUACUCCCGACGACCUCCACCACAACCUUCAGACUCAUGUCCUCCAUCAAUGCUUCCUUCAUCAUGUGAUCCAGCGCCAAGUGAUGAUCUUCCCAUUGCUCUUCGCAAAGGUAAACGCAAGUGUACUUACCUUGUUUCUUCCUUUAUUUCCUAUCACCAGUUAUCUCCCUCCACAUAUGCGUUUAUUACGUCUCUUGAGUCCACAUCUAUUCCUAACUCUGUUCAUGAAGCUUUGUCUCAUCCUCGCUGGCAAAAUGCAAUGAUUGAGGAGAUGCCAAAUCAGCAACUUGUUAAAGAAGGAGAAUUAUGUAAAGAUCCUGAGAGACAUAGGAGAUUAGUUGGGAAGUUGAACUACUUAACAGUGACUCGACCAGACAUUGCAUAUUCUGUAAGUGUUGUAAGUCAAUUCAUGUCUUCCCCUACAGUGGAUCAUUGGGCUGCAGUAGAGCAGAUUUUGUGUUAUCUAAAAGCUGCUCCUGGACGUGGGAUCCUAUACAAAGAUCAUGGACAUACGAGAGUUGAAUGUUUUUCUGAUGCUGAUUUGGCGGGGUCUCGUGAGGAUAGGAGAUCGACUUCUGGAUAUUGUGUUUUUGUAGGUGGAAACUUAGUUUCAUGGAAGAGUAAGAAACAAAAUGUUGUUUCUCGUUCGAGUGCUGAGUCAGAAUAUAGAGCUAUGGCACAAUCUGUGUGUGAAAUAGUAUGGAUUCACCAACUAUUAUCUGAGAUAGGCUUCAGUAUUACCGUGCCAGCUAAAUUAUGGUGUGAUAAUCAAGCUGCACUUCAUAUUGCAUCUAAUCCAGUAUUUCAUGAACGAACUAAACAUAUUGAGGUGGAUUGUCACUUCAUUCGUGAGAAAAUCCAAGAUGGGUUGGUGUCCACAGGAUAUGUGAAGACCGGAGAACAAUUGGGAGAUAUUCUAACUAAAGCUUUAAAUGGAACAAGGAUAAGCUAUCUGUGCAACAAGCUGGGCAUGAUCGACAUAUUUGCUCCAGCUUGAGGGGGAGUGUUAUGAUAUAUAUAUAUAUACAUAUGUCCUUUAUUGUAAUUUUACAUAGUCUCUAGGGUUGUUAAAUUUGGUAGUAUGGGGUUCCAUCUCAAAACCAAUUGGCAAUGAGAGGAGUAGCCCAUCUACCUUAUAUGGAGUACGAGUCCCCUUGGUUUUUCCAAUGUGGGACUCUCAACUUCUCCAACAGAUUUUAUAGAAGGACUACCCUUAGUUGGAGAUAUAAUGUAAUUAUGGUGGUAGUUGACCUUUUAAGUAAGUACUCCUACUUCCUAACUCUUAAACACCCAAAACAAGUGUCAGGAGACCUAUCUAAGGUGCUUCUGUAAUGAACAGCCGAGAAAAUGGGACAAGUCGAUUCCUUGGGCAAAGUUGUGGUACAACACCACCUUCCAUACGUCUACCAAAGUAACUCCUUUUCAAACUGUUUAUGGCAGACCCCCCCCCCCCCCCCCCCCCCGCCAUUAUUAUCGUAUGGGAUGAAUAAAUCUCCAAAUAAUGAGUUAGAAGCCAUGUUAAAAGAAAGAGACUUAGCAAUCAAUGCCUUGAACGAAAAUCUUUGUGCAGUCCAAAACCGAAUGAAAAAAAAUGGCAGAUCGGAAUCGGAGAGAAUUGAAGUUCAAGGUAGGGGAUGAAGUCUAUUUGAAACUAAGACCCUAUAGACAACGCUCAUUGGCUAGAAAGAAGUGUGAGAAACUAGCGCCAAAAUUUUAUGGGUCGUACAAGAUUACAGAGGAGAUUGGAGUUUUCCCUUCGAAGUUACCAGCAGAAGCUGUCAUUCACAAUGUGUUCCACAUUUCUCAACUGAAACUGAAACUCAGAAAACAUGUAGUCCAACGUCAACAACCUAUCCUAACUGAGGACUUCGAAUUGCAGUUGUGGCCAAAAACUGUGUUGGGAGUAUGCUGGAAUAAAGAGCUGAGUGGAAAUGAAUGACUAAUUAAAUGGAAAAAUCUACCAGAUAGAGAAGCCACGUGGGAAUCAGUCUAUCUGCUGAAUCAACAGUUUUCUAAUUUUCACCUUGAGGGCAUGGUAAACUUGGAACCAAGGGGUAUUGUAAGACCUCAAUCGUUCACACAUAUAAAAAGAGGAGCAGAAAGGUAAAUGAACAAACAAUUAAUGAUGAGAGAAUGUGUAAGGAUUCUACUUGAAUCACACAAUUGUUUGUUCAUUUACCUUUCUGCCCCUCCUUUUAUAUGUGUGAAUGAUUGGGGUCUUACAAUACCCCUAGGUUCUAACUCACCUUGUCCUCAAGGUGGAAGCUAGGGAACUGCUGAUUCAGUAGAUAUACUGAUUCCCAUGUUGCCUCACUAUCCGGUAGAUUCUUCCAUUUGACCAGCCAUUCAUUUCCACACGUCUCCUUGUUCCAUCAUACUCCCAACACAGUUUCCGGCCAUAAUUGUAAUUUGAAGUCCUCGGUUAAAUAUAGGCGGUUACUGUUGAACGACAUGUUGUUUUCCCAACUUCAGUUUCAAUUGGGAAAUGUGGAAAACAUUGUGAAUUACAGCUUCUGGUGGUAGUUUCAAACGAUACGUGACCUCCCCUAUCUCCUCAAUAAUCUCAUACAGCCCAUAAAAUUUCGAAGCUAGCUUCUCACAUUUCUUUUAAAUAAACUUCAUCACCAACUUUGAACUUGAGUUAUCUGCGAUUCUGAUCUACCAUUUUUUUCAUUCUGUUUUGGGCUGUACAGAGGUUUUCUUUCAAGGCAUUGAUUGCUAAAUCUCUUUCUUUUAACAUGGCUUCUACCUCAUUAUUUGAAGAUUUUUCAUCCCAUAAGAUAACAAUGGAGGGGAGGUGGAGGGUAUUAAUAUAAUUAGAUUAUUCUUAGGAGAUUAUUCUGGAGAUAUUAUUCUGGAGAUAUUAUUUGAUAUUAUUUCCUUAAGUGUAUUUCUCUAUGGUUAUAUAUAGGCUUGUAUCUCUAUUAAAUAAUCAAUGAAAGAUAGAUUAAUUCCAUAAAAUCAACAUGGUAUCAGAGCAAUAGGGUUUUAGUCUCCUUGUAUUCUAGCCGUCACAUUCCCGCUCGUCUGCCUCCGUUGAUUCGUCGACGGAGGCAGAGCCAUACCCAUCAUCAAUCAACACAUCAUGUCUCCAAGUAAUUCGCUCUGCCUCCUAGAUCAAAAUCUGCAUCUCUGAUUCUGCCGCCGCCGCCACUACUCCUUCCGCCAUCACUGCUCCUUCCAUCCACACAGUUCGUCGCACUCUCGACCCAUAUCCGCUCUCCAUUCGUCCUCACUUAGAUCUACUUGUGCGCACAUUGCAAGCACCAAUUUGUUCGUGCAUCUCUGUUCGUGUCUUCGACUUCCAGAUCCGUGUUUUAUUUCAUCUUUCGCCUUCGAAUCAUACUGUUCCAGAUCAGACCGACCUGCCGCCGCCGCCCUUUACUCGUACCAAACAAUCUCUUUCGAUUGAAGACUCCCGAUCCUGAAGAGGGUGAAUCUUUGUUCAGAUCCAUGAUCCACCGCUCCGCUCCACUCACAGCCGACGACGCACAGGUUCGGCUCUUGUCCGCUCUCCAUUUGUGAAGCUCGCCGUCAUGAAACGCAUCUUCUCUUUUUGCGAAGAACGCCGCAAAGCUCUCUAUCUACUCAACCUCUCAGCUCUCUUCAGUUUUCGUUCUGUUCACCCAGAUUUCCUGUUCAGUUUGAUUCUGACUUGCUUUAGUUUAGUUCGUUCAGUUCCAUUCUGAUGACGGAACGCUCCUGCCCAAUUCAGACCACGUUUUCAUCCUGAUUUGGUUCUACUUUGCUUCAGUUUUGCUCUUUCAUUUUGCCCCCGGAGUUCUUGUUUCGUUCUUCCUAGGUUCUGUUAUAGAUCUCUAUACGAGGAUCUAUGUUUCUAUCCCAGAAGUUCUUCGUUUCGCUCUUCGUGGGUUUGUUUUAGCCUAGAAGUUCUUUGUGUGUUUGUUCUUCGGGUUUUUAUUCUAUUCUAGAUAUAUUGUUUCUUUUCUUAGUUCUUAGCAAACUCAAGUUUGUGAUUUCAACCUUGAGUUUGAGGGAGGGUAUUAAUAUAAUUAGAUUAUUCUUAGGAGAUUAUUCUGGAGAUAUUAUUCUGAAGAUAUUAUUUGAUAUUAUUUCUUUAAGUGUAUUUCUCUAUGGUUAUAUAUAGGCUUGUAUCUCUAUUAAAUAAUCAAUGAAAGACAGAUUAAUUCCAUAAAAUCAACAGAGGGGAGGUCUGCCAUAAACAGUUUGGUAAGGAGUUGUUUUGGUGGACGCAUGGAAAGUGAUAUUAUACCAUAACUCUGCCCAAGGAAUUAGUUUAUCCCAUUUUCUUGCAUGCUCAUUGCAUAAACAUCUUAGAUAGGUCUCUAGGCACCUAUUUACUCUCUCGGUUUGUCCAUCAGUUUGCGGGUGACAUGUUGUGCUUCUUUUCAAAAGUGUGUCCAUGGUGGUGAAUAACUCUUUCCAGAAAUUGCUAAGAAAGAUCUUAACCCGAUCGGUAAUAAUGGACUUGGGAAUACCAUGUUUGCUGAUGGACUUGGGAAUACCAUGUUUGCUGACCACUCUUUCCAGAAAAAUGGAAGCCCAUUGCUUCGCUGUGUACGAGUGUUUAAGAGUUAAGAAGUAGGAAUACUUACUUAAACGGUCAACUACUACCAUAAUUACAUUACAUCCCUCGCUAAGGGUAGUCCCUCUAUGAAAUCCAUCCAAUCUUCCAAUAUCUUUUCAAGAAUGGGAAUGGGUUGUAGCACUCUGGUAGGAUUGGUAGCUUCGAAUUUGUUACGUUGGCAUAUGUCACACUCUUCCACAUAUUUCUUCACAUCUACCUUCAUUCUCUUCCAAAAUAGUUCUCCACUAAUCCUUUUGUAAGUUCUCAAGAAUCUGGAGUGUCCUCCUAGUAUGGAAUCAUGGAACGUGUGUAGUAGCCAAGGAAUGAGAGAGGAGUGUCGUGAUAGCACUACCCUUCAUUUAUAUAACAGCUCCUCAUUACUCCACUAGUACUUUCCUCCUUGGUUCACCCCUUUUUUAGCUCUACUAUAAUUAUCUGGAGUUCUUGAUCGUUCUCAACUUCCUUCUCUAUAAGUUCUACGUCAACAAUGCUCGUUGUCGUCAUUGUGUUCAACUCCACAGUUUGAUCUUUCCUUAAGAGUGCAUCAGCGGCUUUAUUCUGCAAACCCGGUUAGUAUAAUAUCUCGAAAUCAUACCUCAAGAGUUUAGUUAACCAUUUCUAGAAUGAGGUUGAACUUCCCUUUGUUCCAACCAGAAUUUCAGAGCUUUCUGAUCUAAAAUAAUAGUGAAUUUCCUCACCAGUAGGUAGUGCCUCCAUUUCUGCACUGAGAGAACAACUGCCAUGAGUUCCCGUUCAUAUAUGGACUUAACUUGAGCUCUUGAGGAAAGAGCUCAAGUUUCUGACUGAAGAAUGUUAUAGGGUGUCCUUGUGACAACAGCGCUCCUAAGCCUACUCCUGAAGUAUCAGUCUCAAUUGUAAAUGGAUGUGACCAAUCAGGCAGUGCUAACACUGGUAUGGUCAUCAUUGCUAAUUUCAGUUGUUCAAAAGUUGCUAUGGCUUCCUCAUUCCACUUGAACGCGUUCUUCUGAAUUAACUUAGUUAAGGGCGCGGCAAUCUCCCCAUAACUCUUCACAAACCUUCGAUAAUAUCCGGUCAGCCCUAGAAAUCCCCUCAGCCCAGUUAUGUCCUUCGGUUGUGGCCAAUUAAUCAUGCUUCGAGUCUUUUCCUCAUCAGCUUCGACUCCUCUACUGGAAAUCAUGUGCCUCAAAUACUGAACUUGGGAGUGGGCUAUUACACAUUUGUUUCUAUUUGCAAAUAGUUGAUCAUCCCUCAAUAUGGCAAAUACCAUCCCCAUAUGUUUCAUAUGCUCGUCUAUAUUAACACUAUAAACUAAAAUAUCAUUAAAAAAAGACAAGAACACAUCUUCUGAGGAAAGGUUUGAAUAUUUGGUUCAUCAAAGAUUGGAAGGUGGCCGGAGCAUUAGUGAGACCAAAAGGCAUCACUAAGAAUUCGUAGUGCCCUUCGUGCGUGCGAAAAGUUGUCUUCUCCACAUCUUCCCCCUUCAUUCUUAUCUGAUGAUAUCCAGAUUUAAGAUCUAAUUUAGAGAAUAAUGUCGCCCCAUGUAGUUCAUCUAGGAGUUCUUCAAUCACCGAAAUGGGGAAUUUGUCGGCCACGGUUACUUGAUUCAGUUUACGGUAGUCUACAUAGAAUCUCCAUCCAUAUCCUUCUUCUUCACCAAUAGUACUGGGCUAGAGUAAGGGCUGUGACUUGGCCGAAUCACCCCUGCUUGUAGCAUUUCUAUCACCAGUUUUUCAAUCUCUUCUUUUUGUACAUGUCCAUACUUAUAUGGUCGAACAUUGAUUGGUCUGUGAUCGGGUAAAGUCAAAAUGCAGUGGUCUACGGUUCUCUUGGGAGGUAAACCUAUUGGUAGCCUAAAUAUGUACGUGUAUUGAUUGAGUAAUUGUUGAACCAUGGGUAAUCCUUCAUCAUCUCCUUUUAACUCACUUUCUGUUUCAUAUUCCUCUUCCCAUUCAACUUCAUAAUUUUGCAAUUCUAAAAGAAAUCAUCGGUCGCCUGAUUGCCAUGUUUUUUCUAUGGUCCUCAACGAACAUUCUGACUUGAUGAGGGAAGGGUCCCCUCAGUGUUAUUCUUCUUCCUUUUUUCCAAAAUGUCAUGGUUAGGGAUGGUCAAUGCACCUUCAUGGUUCCUGUCGAAUCAAGUCAUUGCAUCCCUAAAAGUCUACAUUUCCCAGUUCCACCGCAAGAAGUCAGCUAUGACUGUUAACUCCUUCAAUUUCACUUUUACCCUCUUACAUAUUCCUUUUCCUUCGCAACGGGUGCUGUCUUCAAUGGUUACUCCAAAUUGGGUUCUUGGAUCAAUGCCCAACCGCAGUUCUUCCACCAACACUUGACUGAUAAAAUUAUUGGUCGCACUGCUAUCAAUAAGGAGUAUUACCUCUCUUCCAUUCAUUUGUCCUUUCAAUUUCAUAGUUCCUUUGGACGUAACUACCGUGAUCACCCUUAAUUCAAUCUCAGCAAUCUCAUUCAAAUCUAAUUGAUUCGGUUCUAUCACUUCCUCUACCUCAUCCUCUGUGGUCGCUUCCUUUUCGUUACUCUCUUCCUCAUUCAAUAUAAGUAGCAUCAACUCUCUUUUUUCUCUGACCUUGCAUUUAUGGCCGAGUGAAUAUUUUUCAUUACACCUGAAACACAGCCCUUUAUCAAGCUUCGCUGUGUCUGAAAGCCUAUUUACUGGAGGAUCAUUUUUUUGGUAACCCCUUUUACCGGAAUGGUUAUCUGUUUCAUGGCAAACUCUGCCGUCUUUUGUUCAACCUUCUCAUUCUUACCUUGAAUCUUGCCUGUGUUCUCACUUCUUUUGGGCUCAAUCCUACUCAAUUCAUCCAUAGCCAGUUGUAAGGCUAGAUUUCUAUCAUUCACCAGUUGAGCUUCCUUCAUACACUCCUCUAAAGUUCGAGGGUGUCUACUAAUCACUUAUGCUUGUAAUGCGGCUCGAGACCCGUCAAAACGCGUCCUGUAGUACACUUUCGGCCAUGUCAGGGAGUGGAGCUGAAUAUGUAACGAACUUCUUAACAAAAUCGCUAUAGGAUCCUUCUUGCUUGAUACGGAUCAGUCUUGCCCCUAAGCUAUGUUGUUCGGUGUCAUUGAAAAAAUCAAACAUCCUUCCUUUCAAGUCCUCCCAUGAUUCCACCCUCUUUCGGUGGUGGCUCCACCUAUACCAAUCUACUUCCUCUUGUCCAAAACUCACAACUGCUACCUUGACCUUCUUCGCUUCAAGUAAGUUAUUAAUCUCAAAGAAGUGUUCCGCCCGGUAAGCCUAGGAUUCGGGAUUCACCCUUGUAAACAUUGGCAUUUACAGCUUCUUGUAUUUACUUCGGUCCACGUUACCUCCACUAUUCUCUGCAGUCGUCUCUGUAUCCUCGAGCUUCUCUUUAAGUUUCAACAUCGGACCUUCAGCAGUCCUAGCCUCUUCUCUUCUUUUGUAACUGUGGUUUUCUCGCAGUUCAUCAGCCAUUCGAUCCAUCAACUUCUUCAUCUCCAGCAUCAUCUCCUUUAAACCCAUAAUUUCUUUUUCAGUCCCAUCUACCCGUUCCUCUAUUUGUUGCUGAGCAAUGAGGCGCAUGACCACCCCCAGUGUGGUGGCUCUAAUACCAAAUGUAAGGAUUCUACUUGACUCACACAAAUAUUACACCCUCACAAUGGCAAAACAGAGGCAACACUCAGUAAUCUUUAUUUAUAUAUAGGCUAAAACAGUUACACUAGUCACAAUAUCCAAAACAGUAAAGAACAUACCCAACUUCCUUUUGGGAUAGCUAAAUACCCUCUCCAGGCUAUGGCAGCCGCCUUGACAAAGGAUAAAAUAAAACCUACCUACCCAAUCCCUAAAAGACCUAUUUAUAUACCUCAUCUCAUCAUUCUUUCAUUUAUGUGCCUGGCCCCACUCGCACAAUCCCUUUCUAUCAUUCCGUCGUCAUUAAUUGUUUGUUCAUUUACCUUUCUGCCCCUCCUUUUAUAUGUGUGAAUGAUUGGGGUCUUACAGAAUGAUGGAAAGGGAUCGUGCGAGUGGGGCCCAUGCAUAGGAAUGAAAGAUUGAUGUAAGGAGGUAUAUAAAUAGAUCUUUCGAGAUUGGGUAGGUAGGUUUUAUUUUCUUUAUGUCAAGUCAACUGCCAUAGCCUGGGAGGAUAUUCAGUUAUCACAAAAGGAAGCUAGGUAUGUUCUUUACUGUUUAUCUUGUUAUUUUGGAUAUUGUGACUAGUGUAAUCUUUUGGCUUAUACAUAAAUAAAGUUUAGCAGAGUGUUGUCUCUGUUUUGCCAUUUUGUGUGUGGAAAUAUUUGUGUGUUUAGUAGAGUCGUUACAGAGUCAUGUAACAAAUUAUGAUUACACAGGGAUAGGUGAUGGCUAAGAUGCAUAUAAGGAUUUUCCUUUCAAGAAUAUCGAGGAAAGGAAUUCCAUAAGAACAAUAUAAUUUAAAGGUAUCAUUCCAAGCGUCUAAUUUAGGCUCUAAUCUAGCAGACUGACUAAGUUAUAAAUUAAAAGCGGUAAAGAGUUACGUGGAAACCUAAGUACUAGGAGAAAACCACAACCUAACUUUCUUAUUAUUAUCUCAUAUGAACAAAAGAUACAAAGGAGAAAAAAAAAAUAAACAAGUUUAAGAUAAAAAAGAAGAGAAUAUUAGGGUUAAUCUUUCCUUGGGCUUAAAGCCCAUUAAUUCUAACAUUAUAUAUCUAGUAUCAGGAAGACAGCGUACCUAUAACUUCUUCAACUUGAACAGGAAUAAAGUGGGCCUGUAAGAGGUUGAGAUGCAUACAUGCAAAUCAGUUACAGCUGAGAGUGACUAAAGAGGCAAUUGUUUUGUGAAGAAUAAUAAUGUUUACACUGUUAGGCUUCUUCAAGCAAUCAAAUCUUCUGCCAGCUUCUGAGAAUCUCAACCAACCCAUCACCAACCUAUAAAAAAGUGACUAUGUCAAGAUUCAGUUCUUAAAUUUCUUCCUCAAUGAAAAUGUCAAGAUUCAGUUCCUAAUUUUCUUCGACAAGGAAAACAGAUUGCAGCACUAAGAGGAUAUUUAACAGAAUCUAAUGGUAUAGAAAACCCUGACGUGGGUAUCAACCCACAAGGAAAACAGCUUCUGAGAAUAUGUUUUCCUCGAUACUUACCCAUUACCAACAGAAACCUGAGAAAAUACAAGUUUAAAUGUCAGAAACAGACAUAAACUAUAUGAUUAAAAGAAGAAUGCAAUUGAUCGGCAAGAGUAUCUUCCUAAUUCAACACCUAAUAGUGAUGCAAGACAACAAGAAACGAUUGUGCAUUUAUUUUAUCAAAGAACAGGCUUUUGUGGCACGCAGCCAACCCUGAAUACUAUACUGAGAUUGGAUCCCACAUGAACCAAUAUAAUCAUGGAGGAAAAGAAGAUAUGUAAAUUGGAGCCAAAGUAAAAUGAAGUGCAGCACCAACCACAUUCAGAUUAUGCCGGCUACAUUGCAAAAGAAUGCAGAUGUCGUUGAUUGCCCGGUCAACAACUGACUGAUCUGAAAAAUAUUCAUCAUUAUAUGAGGAAGUCAAUGUCAUUAAGCUCUGGUGUACAAUAACCAAGCAAAACAAGGAAAGGUUCAGAAAAUCUCCUGCCACGAACUUGAUGAAAUCAUAAAUUUGAAGGAUAUGUUGAAAUUCAAAUUUUCUGAACAGGCAUGCAAAUUAAUUGUUGUAAGAUGUUGCAUCUUAGAACAUAAUUGCGGGUUUGAUUACCUGUAAAUAUAGAGGGAUGCAUAUAAUAUAUAUCUCUCUUUGAGCUAUGUCUAUUUUCUCCCAGAAGCUGCUGAAUUAUGAGUAGAACUCUAAGCAAGACAUCUGAUAGAACAAAAUAAUAUCAAAUACAAGUGUACUCUAUAGUCUGUACAGAUUAUGAUUUUGUAGUAUCAUUCAUCGGAAUAACUAAUUCACCUAGUCUACGGACGUGGCUUUCCCUUUGAAGUGUUAGAACAUCCUUCCCUUCAGAUAAAUUGAACCUACAACAACUGCAUAAAAAAUUAGCGAAAAAUCAUCUAAACGUCUCUUUUGGUACAAAUAUCGUUUUCAAAACACAAGUCCAAUUUCAAGAUAGUGUCAUCUUCACAUUCAAGAACUAUAACUUUCUUGAAAAAUAAAAAUAUUAUGUCUAAAAACUAAAGAAUGACUGAAAACUAGGUCAUAAACAUAAAAUGCAUUUGAGUUAAGAAUUGAGAUUGAGCAGUGACUUUUGAAAAUGACAAAUCAUAGCUAAACUAUGCAACUCUGCUUCAAGUUCUAGAGAUAUAUUCGCAUCUGAAGUAACACUGAUUUUCUGCUGGUAUUUUGUGAGCGACUACUGAUUUGGCCUUCGACACGAUCCAAUAGACCCGGUAGUAGAUAAAUAAUCGAAAACUAUAGAAAUUUUUCGCACGAAUAGGGAAAUGAAUAUUCGUAGUCUAGUAAAGCACUUAAUAACAUUGUAGAUCAUGAACUUUAUUUGGUUACCAAUUCGAAGAUUCAAAAGAUUGGAAGCAAAAUAUUCUAUACAGAAAAUUACGAACCAGUUUUCAAGGGAAUUGGAGCAGUAACUUUUGAAUCGAUCGAUGGCGAUCAUCCUGGAGCUUCCAUUGCUCAGUUCGACGAUCAUAGAUCUCGUUAGCUCUGCAAAAGAUUGUAUUGGAAAACGGAAAGAAAAUAGCAACGACGAAACAGAAAUCAACUGGAAUGAAUAUGAGAAUCAGAAAAAUCAAUGGAAUUGCGACCUGUGAUUUUUCUCAUUACUUCAAUUCUCUCCAAGCUUCCUCGGUUUCCCUCCAUUUUUCUUCGAUGCGAUUGGUUUUGAAGUGGCCUGUGGGUGUACGCAUUAGUUUAGGGGGAAAAGAGUGAAAAAACUUGGGGAAUGGUCAAAAAUAGGCCAAACGUAGGCCAAAAAUGGGGUAAAAAAAGAGUUUUAGAAUUGGUAUUAAAAAAAGUUGAGAUUUAUGAUAAAUUUGGGGUGAAAUGACGAAAAUAUCCUUAUUUAAUUUCUCAUUUCCUCUUUUCUUCAACCUAAAAACAGAACAACGCUAAAAAAACGUAAACUUGAACCUCCCGCUUUUGAACUCAUUCGCUUAUACAGUUCCUUCAACUUGGUGCCUCUAGUGAACGUCUCUUCUCUUCCAUCCAUUUCUUCUCCACUUCCAUCCAUUUCUUCUCCACGACUCUCCACUCUUUUCUGAUUUCAAAUUUUUUACCGAACCUCUCCAUUUCUUCUCCACGGGUCUCUGUUUUAGUUUCGACUUCAACUCUGGUGAACGCUUCUCCACUCCUUUCCGAUUUCAGCUUUGUUUUCACCGGACCUCUCCAUUUCUUCCCCACUCCUCUCCGUUGGCAGUGUCGUAUCCAUCAUCUUUGAAGUCAAGUGAGUAAUAAAAUCUGAGUUUUUUUUUAUAAACCAUUUUUUUUAAGUUGUCUGUUGAAAUAUGAGUUUUUUGUUGGGCACAUUUUAGAUAUAUCAUUAAAUUUGUAGAGAAGAAAUGCAUAUGUCGUACAGGCACACACACAUAGAGAGUCGUAGGAACAUGAAUUCCGUUUAGAAUGCAUGUUUAACUAGUUUACAGAGCUUUAAUGGUUUAGGGUUAACAAUUUUAUUAGACUUGGCAAGUAAUAACCUUGAAUUUUUUAUCUCGCACCUACCAAAAUUUGAGUAAAAGUUUCAAGAGGAGAGUGCUACCCUUCCUAAACCGUUUAGAAUGCAUGUUUAGCUAGUUUACUGGGCUUUUAAGAGUUUAGGGUUAGCAAUUUUAUUAGACUUAGCAAGUAAUAGCCUUGAAUUUUUUAUCUCGCGCCUAUCUCACACCUACCAAAAUUUUAGUAGAAGUUUCAAGAUGAGAGUGCUACCCUUCCUAAACCGUUUAGAAUGCAUGUUUAGCUAGUUUACUGGGCUUUAAGAGUUUUAGCUAGUUUAUUGGGCUUUAAGAGUUUAGGGUUAGCAAUUUUAUUAGACUUAACAAGUAAUAGCCUUGAAUUUUUUAUCUCGCACCUACCAAAAUUUGAGUAGAAGUUUCAAGAUGAGAGUGUAUCCAUAUUUAAUAAGUCUCUUAUGCAAUUAUAUUUGAUUUGUUUAUUUUUUAUGCAGGCUUCAGUAUGACUUCGACAUCAACUGACGGUCUCAUGUAUAAGAUUGACCAUUCUCAUCAUUUUCAUGCUAUAGUAAGCAGUUUACAUCAUUUAGAAAAUAGUACGCGUAAUAUAAAGGCAAAAUUGAAACCGGAUCGAUUAACAUUUGAUAUUUGUCUUAUUGUCUUAUUGUAUUUCGGUCUAACAUAAAUACAUAUACAUGCAUGUGGACUUUUUUUCUUUCCAGCAAUUAUUAGUUGCGAAGUGGCAUGAAUACCAAUAAUGUAUUAAAGAGAAUCGACCAUUUCACUGGAAGGAGGAGUAUCGAUUGGUUGACUAUGUUGUCGGAUCAAAAGAAGACUUUCAAGAUCCUUGGGCGAAUGUUGAUUACAUUUACUCUUCAUUCAAUAUCCAUGGUAAUCAUUGGAUUCUAUUAUGCUUUGGACUUGGUCAGUUGUCAAGUUAAGCUUAUUUCUAUGAUGAAAGAUGCUUUUAUCCCCUCCCCAAAGAAUAUCAUUACUAUUUAUGUUUUAUUUCUGCUAACUAAUUCUUGCAUAGCAUCUGGUUUGAUAAUUAAAGUAAAGUUUCUGACAUGGAGGUUUUCAAGUUGUAAUAUGUAUUUAUGUUUUAGGUAGAUUCCCAAACUUUGAAGAAACGCUGCAGUACUAAGGUAAUUGAACGUUGUAAGGCAGAGCAUUGGGCUUACCAGAGCCAAGGUAUCUUCUUCGGUAACAAGUAAGGAUAGUCCUGAUACUACCUUUCUUUUGUUAUUGAAGUUUAUUGUUCCUUCUCUCUUGUUUGGUGGUUGUGCACCUAUAUUGAUUUGUACUUCUGUUAAUUAAUUAUAGUCCUUCUCUCUUGUUUGAGUAAUUAUUGUCUACCAUUGUGUCAGCAAAGGCUUCCCGUGGAAAUUUAGUUUGUUGUGUUGCAUGUCCAAGAUGAUUUUUGUGAUUUUAGUAUUAGAUACAUAAAAGGGAUUUUGCAUCACCACAUGAAUGACUAUUUCUAAAUAUGAACCUACAAUAACCCCAAAUGAAUACCGAAUUAAAUUGGAAACAAGGCAGAUAGAGAGUGAGAUGGAGAGUGUUUGUGUGUGCUUUAGAGUAGUUUUAAACACAUUUUUUUAGGUUUGUUUAAGACUAAGUUUGUUUCACUUGCAUAAGACUAAGUUUGUUUAAAGUGCAUUUUCACUCAUUUUGAACUUUUUGUUAGUUUGUGAGUUACGAACUUACACUUAAGCAUUGUUAGUUAAUUUCAAACAACAUUUUGUGUUUGUUUGGAACUAAGUUUAUUUAGACAUUUGAUUGACAUGUUGGGUCUCCAAGUGCUUUUUUCCACACUUUUUGAAAUUUUGGUAGGUUGUGAGUUACGAACUUACGCUCGAGUAUUGUUUGGUCCAUUUGAAAGCUUAUACACAUUUUGAACUCUUUUUAAGAUAACUUGAAACUAAGUUCAUUGCACUUACAUACUUCGUUGCCGUUUUGGGUCUUAAAGUACCUUUUUCACACUUUUUGAAAUUUUGGUAGGUUGUGAGUUACAAACUUACACUUAAGCAUUACUUGGUUGUUUUGAAAAUUCAAGUGAUACUUACACACGUUUUGAAUACAUUUUAGGUUAGAUUGAGUUUGUUGCACUUGGUUGUCAUUUUUGGUCUUGAAAUGCUUUUUUCAACCUUUUUGGUAGAUUAUGAGUUACGAACUUACACUUAGGAUUUGCUUGGUCGUUUUGAAAACUCAAGUAAUACAUAGGCACGUUUUGAGCACGUUUUAGGUUGGUUUGCAUUAAGUUUGUUUCACUUGCAUAAUUGGUUGUCAUUUUAGGUCUCAAAGUGCAUUUUCACUCAUUUUGAACUUUUUGUUAGUUUGUGAGUUACGAACUUACACUUAAGCAUUGUUAGUUAAUUUCAAACAACAUUUUGUGUUUGUUUGGAACUAAGUUUGUUUAGACAUUUGAUUGACAUGUUGGGUCUCCAAGUGCUUUUUUCCACACUUUUUGAAAUUUUGGUAGGUUGUGAGUUACGAACUUACGCUCGAGUAUUGUUUGGUCCAUUUGAAAGCUUAUACACAUUUUGAACUCUUUUUAAGAUAACUUGAAACUAAGUUCAUUGCACUUACAUACUUCGUUGCCGUUUUGGGUCUUAAAGUACCUUUUUCACACUUUUUGAAAUUUUGGUAGGUUGUGAGUUACAAACUUACACUUAAGCAUUACUUGGUUGUUUUGAAAAUUCAAGUGAUACUUACACACGUUUUGAAUACAUUUUAGGUUAGAUUGAGUUUGUUGCACUUGGUUGUCAUUUUUGGUCUUGAAAUGCUUUUUUCAACCUUUUUGGUAGAUUAUGAGUUACGAACUUACACUUAGGAUUUGCUUGGUCGUUUUGAAAACUCAAGUAAUACAUAGGCACGUUUUGAGCACGUUUUAGGUUGGUUUGCAUUAAGUUUGUUUCACUUGCAUAAUUGGUUGUCAUUUUAGGUCUCAAAGUGCAUUUUCACUCAUUUUGAACUUUUUGUUAGUUUGUGAGUUACGAACUUACACUUAAGCAUUGUUAGUUAAUUUCAAACAACAUUUUGUGUUUGUUUGGAACUAAGUUUGUUUAGACAUUUGAUUGACAUGUUGGGUCUCCAAGUGCUUUUUUCCACACUUUUUGAAAUUUUGGUAGGUUGUGAGUUACGAACUUACGCUCGAGUAUUGUUUGGUCCAUUUGAAAGCUUAUACACAUUUUGAACUCUUUUUAAGAUAACUUGAAACUAAGUUCAUUGCACUUACAUACUUCGUUGCCGUUUUGGGUCUUAAAGUACCUUUUUCACACUUUUUGAAAUUUUGGUAGGUUGUGAGUUACAAACUUACACUUAAGCAUUACUUGGUUGUUUUGAAAAUUCAAGUGAUACUUACACACGUUUUGAAUACAUUUUAGGUUAGAUUGAGUUUGUUGCACUUGGUUGUCAUUUUUGGUCUUGAAAUGCUUUUUUCAACCUUUUUGGUAGAUUAUGAGUUACGAACUUACACUUAGGAUUUGCUUGGUCGUUUUGAAAACUCAAGUAAUACAUAGGCACGUUUUGAGCACGUUUUAGGUUGGUUUGCAUUAAGUUUGUUUCACUUGCAUAAUUGGUUGUCAUUUUAGGUCUCAAAGUGCAUUUUCACUCAUUUUGAACUUUUUGUUAGUUUGUGAGUUACGAACUUACACUUAAGCAUUGUUAGUUAAUUUCAAACAACAUUUUGUGUUUGUUUGGAACUAAGUUUGUUUAGACAUUUGAUUGACAUGUUGGGUCUCCAAGUGCUUUUUUCCACACUUUUUGAAAUUUUGGUAGGUUGUGAGUUACGAACUUACGCUCGAGUAUUGUUUGGUCCAUUUGAAAGCUUAUACACAUUUUGAACUCUUUUUAAGAUAACUUGAAACUAAGUUCAUUGCACUUACAUACUUCGUUGCCGUUUUGGGUCUUAAAGUACCUUUUUCACACUUUUUGAAAUUUUGGUAGGUUGUGAGUUACAAACUUACACUUAAGCAUUACUUGGUUGUUUUGAAAAUUCAAGUGAUACUUACACACGUUUUGAAUACAUUUUAGGUUAGAUUGAGUUUGUUGCACUUGGUUGUCAUUUUUGGUCUUGAAAUGCUUUUUUCAACCUUUUUGGUAGAUUAUGAGUUACGAACUUACACUUAGGAUUUGCUUGGUCGUUUUGAAAACUCAAGUAAUACAUAGGCACGUUUUGAGCACGUUUUAGGUUGGUUUGCAUUAAGUUUGUUUCACUUGCAUAAUUGGUUGUCAUUUUAGGUCUCAAAGUGCAUUUUCACUCAUUUUGAACUUUUUGUUAGUUUGUGAGUUACGAACUUACACUUAAGCAUUGUUAGUUAAUUUCAAACAACAUUUUGUGUUUGUUUGGAACUAAGUUUGUUUAGACAUUUGAUUGACAUGUUGGGUCUCCAAGUGCUUUUUUCCACACUUUUUGAAAUUUUGGUAGGUUGUGAGUUACGAACUUACGCUCGAGUAUUGUUUGGUCCAUUUGAAAGCUUAUACACAUUUUGAACUCUUUUUAAGAUAACUUGAAACUAAGUUCAUUGCACUUACAUACUUCGUUGCCGUUUUGGGUCUUGAAGUACCUUUUUCACACUUUUUGAAAUUUUGGUAGGUUGUGAGUUACAAACUUACACUUAAGCAUUACUUGGUUGUUUUGAAAAUUCAAGUGAUACUUACACACGUUUUGAUUACAUUUUAGGUUAGAUUGAGUUUGUUGCACUUGGUUGUCAUUUUUGGUCUUGAAAUGCUUUUUUCAACCUUUUUGGUAGAUUAUGAGUUACGAACUUACACUUAGGAUUUGCUUGGUCGUUUUGAAAACUCAAGUAAUACAUAGGCACGUUUUGAGCACGUUUUAGGUUGGUUUGCAUUAAGUUUGUUGCACUUACACACUUGGUUGCCAUUUUGGGUCUUGUAGUGCUUUUUUUACAAUAUUUGAACUUUUUUCGUAGGUUAUGAGUUACGAACCUACACGUAAGCUUUUUUAGGUCGUUUUGAAAGUUCAAGUGAUACUUAGACACGUUUUGAACUCGUUUUAGGUUGGUUUGAAACUAAGUUUUAAACACAUUUGAUUGACAUGUUGGGUCUUGAAGUACUUUUUUCACACUUUUUGAAAUUUUGGUAGGUUGUGAGUUACAAACUUACACUUAAGCAUUGCUUGGUCAUUUGAAAAUUCAAGUGAUACUUACACACGUUUUGAAUUCAUUUUAGGUUAGAUUGAGUUUGUUGCACUUACACACUUGGUUCUCAUUUUUGGUCUCGAAAUGCUUUUUUCAACCUUUUUGGUAGAUUAUGAGUUACGAACUUACACUUAGGAUUUGCUUGGUCGUUUUGAAAACUCAAGUAAUACAUAGGCACGUUUUGAGCACGUUUUAGGUUGGUUUGCAUUAAGUUUGUUGCACUUACACACUUGGUUGCCAUUUUGGGUCUUGUAGUGCUUUUUUUACAAUAUUUGAACUUUUUUCGUAGGUUAUGAGUUACGAACCUACACGUAAGCUUUUUUAGGUUGUUUUGAAAGUUCAAGUGAUACUUAGACACGUUUUGAACUCGUUUUAGGUUGGUUUGAAACUAAGUUUUAAACACAUUUGAUUGACAUGUUGGGUCUUGAAGUACUUUUUUCACACUUUUUGAAAUUUUGGUAGGUUGUGAGUUACAAACUUACACUUAAGCAUUGCUUGGUCGUUUGAAAAUUCAAGUGAUACUUACACACGUUUUGAAUUCAUUUUAGGUUAGAUUGAGUUUGUUGCACUUACACACUUGGUUGUCAUUUUUGGUCUCGAAAUGCUUUUUUCAACCUUUUUGGUAGAUUAUGAGUUACGAACUUACACUUAGGAUUUGCUUGGGCGUUUUGAAAUCUCAAGUAAUACAUGGACACGUUUUGAGCACGUUUUAGGUUGGUUUGCACUAAGUUUGUUGCACUUACACACUUGGUUGCCAUUUUGGGUCUUGUAGUGCUUUUUUCACAAUAUUUGAACUUUUUUCGUAGGUUAUGAGUUACGAACCUACACGUAAGCUUUUUUAGGUCGUUUUGAAAGUUCAAGUGAUACUUAGACAUGUUUUGAACUCGUUUUAGGUUGGUUUGAAACUAAGUUUCAAACACAUUUGAUUGACAUGUUGGGUCUUGAAGUACUUUUUACGUGUUAUUGUGGCUUCGGUCGAGAGUGAAGAGUUUCCAAUCAGAGUUUCCUACCAAAACACUUUCUAAGAUUAAAGUAACUGAACAACUUCUGUAAUUCUGCUCUCCAGAAAAUACAGCCCCUCCACUUCCAGAAACUGAUUAACCAACCCCCAUCUUUCCUUCCAUCUCUCCCUUUUAACCUCCCCCUGUAACUAACUGUUGUCCCCACUAAGGUGGUUUCCACUCCCUCCAAUUCCAUCACCUGUGCACGUGCAAUUCCACUUGUCUUUCUUCUGCUAUAUUGUAUUGCAAUUGGUGGUCUAUCAUUACUCUCCCUCUCCAAAGACACCUUGUUCUCAAGGUGGGAAAUGAGGAAGCUUUUGUGUAAAAUCAUCACAAUUCUCCCAUGUAGCCUCAUGAGGUGGUAUUCCUUUCCAACUAACAAGCACUUCCCACUUCUUUGUUGCUGGAUUUUUAGGAUAGCCAAAAUUGUCUCUAGUAACUCUUGAAAUGUAGGAACAUCAUCAAUUCCAUAUAGUUCGGUAAAUGUCAUUCCUCCCUCCAUAGCUCGACAUUUUGUCAAGAAACCGUAAUCAGAUGGUGUCCAUGUCUCCAUCAUGUGUUACAGACUCACUCUAGUCUUUGUCAAACUCGGGUCACCCCUUAUAACAACAUUCUUUUCAUUUUGUAUGAAAG
RNAcentral lists this long non-coding RNA (40700 nucleotides) under Cucumis sativus (cucumber). RNAcentral describes it as "long non-coding RNA (CSAT_LNC003213)". Lineage: Eukaryota; Viridiplantae; Streptophyta; Magnoliopsida; Cucurbitales; Cucurbitaceae. The record is from RNAcentral.